GACGAACGCUGGCGGCGUGCUUAACACAUGCAAGUCGAACGCUGAAGCUCAGCUUUUGUUGGGUGGAUGAGUGGCGAACGGGUGAGUAACACGUGAGUAACCUGCCUCCUUCUUUGGGAUAACGCCCGGAAACGGGUGCUAAUACUGGAUAUUCACUGGUCUUCGCAUGGGGGUUGGUGGAAAGGGUUUUUCUGGUGGGGGAUGGGCUCGCGGCCUAUCAGCUUGUUGGUGGGGUGAUGGCCUACCAAGGCUUUGACGGGUAGCCGGCCUGAGAGGGUGACCGGUCACAUUGGGACUGAGAUACGGCCCAGACUCCUACGGGAGGCAGCAGUGAGGAAUAUUGCACAAUGGGCGCAAGCCUGAUGCAGCGACGCCGCGUGAGGGAUGGAGGCCUUCGGGUUGUGAACCUCUUUCGCUCAUGGUCAAGCCGCAACAAUGGUUGUGGUGAGGGUAGUGGGUAAAGAAGCGCCGGCUAACUACGUG
RNAcentral lists this ribosomal RNA (483 nucleotides) under uncultured bacterium. RNAcentral describes it as "partial 16S ribosomal RNA". It matches the Rfam family "Bacterial small subunit ribosomal RNA", at positions 28 to 507 of the family's 1533-position model. The record is from RNAcentral.